UGGGGCGUGGCCAAGUGGUAAGGCAGCGGGUUUUGGUCCCGUUACUCGGAGGUUCGA
Molecule: transfer RNA, 57 nt
Filed under: Aegilops markgrafii
Lineage: Eukaryota; Viridiplantae; Streptophyta; Magnoliopsida; Poales; Poaceae
Description: partial tRNA-Gln
Rfam family: tRNA
About the family: Transfer RNA (tRNA) molecules are approximately 80 nucleotides in length. Their secondary structure includes four short double-helical elements and three loops (D, anti-codon, and T loops). Further hydrogen bonds mediate the characteristic L-shaped molecular structure. tRNAs have two regions of fundamental functional importance: the anti-codon, which is responsible for specific mRNA codon recognition, and the 3' end, to which the tRNAs corresponding amino acid is attached (by aminoacyl-tRNA synthetases). tRNAs cope with the degeneracy of the genetic code in two manners: having more than one tRNA (with a specific anti-codon) for a particular amino acid; and 'wobble' base-pairing, i.e. permitting non-standard base-pairing at the 3rd anti-codon position.
Source: RNAcentral